Molecule: ribosomal RNA, 463 nt
Filed under: uncultured bacterium
Lineage: Bacteria
Description: partial 16S ribosomal RNA
Rfam family: Bacterial small subunit ribosomal RNA
Source: RNAcentral
GAUGAACGCUGACAGAAUGCUUAACACAUGCAAGUCGAUGGGGAAGUGGUGCUUGCACCAUGGUAACCAUGGCGGACGGGUGAGUAACACGUAAGGAACUUACCUGCGGGACCGGGAUAACAGCAGGAAACUGCUGACAAGACCGGAUAAGGUCAUUAAGCUGCAUAGCUUAGUGAUGAAAGGAGACGCCUGCGGAGAGCCUUGCGUCCUAUUAGCUAGUUGGGGGGGUAACGGCCCACCAAGGCGAAGAUAGGUAGCCGGCCUGAGAGGGUGGACGGCCACAAGGGGACUGAGAUACGGCCCUUACUCCUACGGGAGGCAGGAGGGGGGAAUAUUGGACAAUGGGGGCAACCCUGAUCCAGCAAUUCUGUGUGCACGAAGACGGUUUUCGGAGUGUAAAGUGCUUUCAGCAGGGAAGAAGGAAGUGACGGUACCUGCAGAAGAAGCGACGGCUAAAUACGUG